RNAcentral lists this ribosomal RNA (670 nucleotides) under uncultured beta proteobacterium. RNAcentral's name for it is "bacterial SSU rRNA". It matches the Rfam family "Bacterial small subunit ribosomal RNA", at positions 52 to 719 of the family's 1533-position model. The record is from RNAcentral. Lineage: Bacteria; Pseudomonadati; Pseudomonadota; Betaproteobacteria.
CACAUGCAAGUCGAACGGUAACAGGUCUUCGGAUGCUGACGAGUGGCGAACGGGUGAGUAAUACAUCGGAACGUGCCCGAUCGUGGGGGAUAACGAAGCGAAAGCUUUGCUAAUACCGCAUAAGAUCUACGGAUGAAAGCAGGGGACCGCAAGGCCUUGCGCGAACGGAGCGGCCGAUGGCAGAUUAGGUAGUUGGUGGGAUAAAAGCUUACCAAGCCGACGAUCUGUAGCUGGUCUGAGAGGACGACCAGCCACACUGGGACUGAGACACGGCCCAGACUCCUACGGGAGGCAGCAGUGGGGAAUUUUGGACAAUGGGCGAAAGCCUGAUCCAGCCAUGCCGCGUGCAGGAUGAAGGCCUUCGGGUUGUAAACUGCUUUUGUACGGAACGAAAAGACUCUGGUUAAUACCUGGGGUCCAUGACGGUACCGUAAGAAUAAGCACCGGCUAACUACGUGCCAGCAGCCGCGGUAAUACGUAGGGUGCAAGCGUUAAUCGGAAUUACUGGGCGUAAAGCGUGCGCAGGCGGUUAUAUAAGACAGAUGUGAAAUCCCCGGGCUCAACCUGGGAACUGCAUUUGUGACUGUAUAGCUAGAGUACGGCAGAGGGGGAUGGAAUUCCGCGUGUAGCAGUGAAAUGCGUAGAUAUGCGGAGGAACACCGAUGGCGAA